UGGGGAAUAUUGGACAAUGGGCGAAAGCCUGAUCCAGCAAUACCGCGUGUGUGAAGAAGGCCUUCGGGUUGUAAAGCACUUUAAGCAGGGAAGAAAAAACUCAAAUUAAUACUUUGAGUCUUGACGGUACCUGAAGAAUAAGCACCGGCUAACUCUGUGCCAGCAGCCGCGGUAAUACAGAGGGUGCAAGCGUUAAUCGGAUUUACUGGGCGUAAAGCGUGUGUAGGUGGUUGGGAAAGUCAAUUGUGAAAUCCCCGGGCUUAACUCGGGAACUGCUUUUGAUACUGUCUGACUAGAAUUCGGUAGAGGGAGGCGGAACUCCAGGUGUAGCGGUGAAAUGCGUAGAUAUCUGGAAGAACACCAAUGGCGAAGGCAACCUCCUGGGCCUGAAUUGACACUGAGACACGAAAGCGUGGGGAUCAAACAGGAUUAGAUACCCUGGUAGUCCACGCCGUAAACGAUGACAACUUGACGUCGGUUUGCUCUGCGAAUCGGUGUCGUAGCUAACGCGAUAAGUUGUCCGCCUGGGGAGUACGGCCGCAAGGUUG
RNAcentral lists this ribosomal RNA (548 nucleotides) under uncultured bacterium. Its description in RNAcentral is "bacterial SSU rRNA". It matches the Rfam family "Bacterial small subunit ribosomal RNA", at positions 355 to 896 of the family's 1533-position model. The record is from RNAcentral.